Molecule: ribosomal RNA, 501 nt
Filed under: uncultured bacterium
Lineage: Bacteria
Description: bacterial SSU rRNA
Rfam family: Bacterial small subunit ribosomal RNA
Source: RNAcentral
AGAGUUUGAUCAUGGCUCAGAUUGAACGCUGGGCGGCAUGCCUUACACAUGCAAGUCGAACGGCAGCACGGGAGCUUGCUCCUGGUGGCGAGUGGCGAACGGGUGAGUAAUACAUCAGAACGUACCCUGAAGUGGGGGAUAACGUAGCGAAAGUUACGCUAAUACCGCAUAUUCUGUGAGCAGGAAAGAGGGGGAUCGCAAGACCUCUUGCUUUUAGGAGCGGCCGAUGUCGGAUUAGCUAGUUGGUGAGGUAAAGGCUCACCAAGGCGACGAUCCGUAGCGGGUCUGAGAGGAUGAUCCGCCACACUGGAACUGAGACACGGUCCAGACUCCUACGGGAGGCAGCAGUGAGGAAUAUUGGUCAAUGGGAGCAAUCCUGAACCAGCAAUGCCGCGUGUGGGAUGACAGGGCUUCGCCUUGUAAACCACUGUCGGACGGGACGAAAGGAGGCCUCGGGCCUCUGGGACGGUACCGUCAAAGGAAGGGUCGGCUAACUACGUG